UUUUUUUUUUUUUUUUUUUUUUUUUUGCUAAUCUUCCUAGAUGUACUUGAAAAUGUGGUCACUAUUUUUAGGAACAGAAUUCUUUUCAAAUUACAACUAAGUCAUAACUCAGUUAUGGCUUUGGGAUGCCAAUUGCCAUAUCCUGUUACUCCUGGAUUUACAAAUUUAAAUAAUAUUUUUAAAAAGAGAUUAUUAAUUAUACAUAUUCAAAUUAGAUUUAAAAUUAAAUUUGAAUGCAAGUACUUAGGAUUAAAAACCUCCUUUUAAAAAAUAGAUUUAUAUUAGACUCAGAAAUAUAUAAAUAUUUUAUAUAAAUUUAUAAAUGUAGUUUAAAAAAUAACCUUUAUGCUAAUGUGAGAUGCCUCCACUUUCAGCAAGCCACUUAAAUACAUUACAAAUCCCUGUUCUGGUCCAGGAGCCUGAUGUGAAACUUGAGGUUUGCCACUCACACUGGGCAUAGGUGUGGCUGAGCUCACCCCCUGUGCCCAGGCUGCUUUCGGGUCCCUGCAGUGCCUGAUGCCAAGGGUGCAGCCUGGCCCUGCUUGUGUGUCCAACUAGUGCAAAAGGACAGAGCAGCUCUCCUUGACACAGGAUAACCUUCCUUCCCUGACACAGCCCCUGCACACACAGCACGUAACCAUACAGAAAAACAGCAGUCCCGUGUGACAAGCGGGAUGAGCCACGCCGAGCACGAGCAGUCCUUGCUCCGGCCUCAGCAGUGCCUGGUGCUGCCCGUGACACCCUGUAUGCUCCUGUAGAUGAACCCCUGGAGCAUGCACACUUCUAGCCUGCAAGUCUGAGCCUGUUUUAACUAACUUGGGUGUGUGCAAGAGUAUGACAGUAUGGCCUCAUGAUCAGCCAUACCAUGAUCCAUCCAGACCCCACUGUCUCGCUCUUAUGUCAACCAACCAUUAAUCCAUCUCCAGAAGCAUAUUUCCCUCUAUGCUCUUGUGAGAGUUGCAGUUUUCCAGCAACUUUAGCUUUCCUGUACACUAAGCCUUUAAAAUUUCUGCGAAUUAAAUUUAAAAGUUAUUUUCUUAUUCUUCAACUGAACCCUGUCCCAAGUUGUUUCCAGCUCAAGAGCUGACUACUAUAAUUUAACAUUUAAAUUUUUGUUCUUGGGAAAUACAGGAUUCAAAGGAUGUUCCAUAAACUGAAUUGAGGUUUUAGAAAAAAACUUGCAUCCAGUAGUCUUUUGGAUCUCCUCCUAUUGUGACUUUCUGAAAGCUCAGCAUAAAUCCAGUAUCACAUUUAUAUAAGCAUUCAAUUUCUGUGGUAUAAAUGGCACUAAAUCUGUUUCUUUUUAUCCAUGUAGCAAACAGAGAGGAUUCUGUCUCAGAUGAAUUAAUUUAUUUAAGAAAUGUGUGAACCCAAUGUCAUGCAUCAGCUCAAAAAAUAGUGAUAGGCAGUGUAGUGCUUUGCCAAGAGGAGGCAUUCUGAGAGUCUGAAACAGAGUCCAACAGGGUCCAAAUACAGUGCAUCUCAUUUAUUCAGUUUUCCAGACUGAUAUUUCCUUUCAAUUUCUCUUUAAAUUGUCAUCAGUUUGAGUCUCUGCUUUCUCUGAAUCCAUAUAACAUUAUUCCAGCUUCUGUCUGACUUUUUUUGUUUUGUUUUACAUAGAGAUGUGAGGGUGGACCCCAAAUUUUAUCUAAAUAACUUCAGUCACAGCAUUAAAAAAAAAGGAAAGCACAUUUUUAUUGGAGGUUUUACUGUAAAGUGUUAGUUCACUGAAGAGUUUUCAUUUUUAAACAACUGAUACUUUAUUUGAGUCAUUCAUGGAAAUAUCCAGCUGCAUGAGCACACUGUUCACUUUGUCUUGUGAGUUUUUUGCUGCAAUAAUGUGAUCAGUUUUACUGCUGAAGAGACUUCUUUGACACUUGUUUUCCGAAUUUUUUCCUCCCAAAUAUCCCAGAAUGCUAAUUAACAGGAAUAGAAGUAGCAAGCAAAUAUGAUGAAGGAAAAAGCAUUAGAUGUAAAGCAACAAAAACAUUUGCUCCAGUUGGUUUUGUUUGGGAUGUGCAAAUAAAGAAGUGCACAGUUUACAAUGAGAUAUGUACACAGCUUGGCAGAGGUUUCAUAGCUGAAAUUACACUAUUCUCUGGCUACGAAGAUGAGUUCUAAAUAAAUCUCUUAAAAUUUCUUUUUGCACCUUUUUGUAUCAACAUCAGUUUCCAAGACUGCAUCUGAAAAAGCUAUUGUAGUAACAUUUUUGCCAGUAUUUACUGUGAUACUUAAUUAAUUCUAUCAUAUGGUCUGUUUUCCAAUGCACAUAGUGUUUUCCAACUCUUCUUUUUUUUAAUUAUUUAUUUCUGAGAAUAUAAUUAUUCUGGUCUCCAAAAAAGGAUUCCACAAUUUUCCCUGUUAAAGGGGAAUGAUGAAAUGUUGGAAGUAUUUGAAGCCUCAGAUGCUCCUGAAAAGAUUUAUAGAAGUUAAUGCUAUAACUGUCCAGCCUGGAGAGCUGCCACUUGGAAGGGCCCUGCUUAGACUUUGGACUUAAUUUCUCAGUAUCAUGUCUUUAAAAAGUAACUUUCAGCACUGGUCUCCCCAAAACUGUAACACCGCUUCAUGGGUAAACCAGGGCACACCUGCAUGAGUCCAGGAUGCCCGAGGAAUUUGUCACACAGACAUGCCACCGAACAGUGAAAACCUCCUAUGCUAUAAGCAUCUCCUGUCACUCCCUUGCUGUGUGUUACUGGCAUGAGGCAGUCAGUGAGCAAGAGUUUUGUGGUUCCUUUAUGCCCCACUAAUCCUGGCUACUAAAAUAGCCCUUUUGAGACCGCUGGCAUCUACACUAGCCUUUAAACUCUUUUCUAUACACCAGCCCCAACAGGGUUACACAAACAGGAGAAAAUAAAUUUGGACUAAAGCAAAUUUUGCACAGCCUGGGUGCCACACUGGGCACUACCUUCAUUGCUGGGAUGCUCUGAUCUUGCUUUUGUGCUGAAAAGUUUAUGCAGAAAUAGCAAGAACGUAUUUUUACAGAGUGAGUUUGUAUUAUUUUCUUUUUGCCCCAGUUGUAAGCCUAGUGGUAAGAGACAUAGCAUUUGUGAAAUAUGGUGAAUUCUUACAUAGUAUACAUAGCCCAUAGUAUUUCUGGUGUAAACUGCAGGUUGCUGGGUGAAUUAAGAGGUUACUAAUCUUCUUCCUGUCAAGAGAACUGAAUUUCUUCAGUUGAAAAGCACUACUGGCCAGCUGUCACUGGAGAAAUACACUGCUUUUUAAGAAAUCCUUGGCUAAUGUAUUCAUCUGUUUUGUGAGGAAAAACAUCUGUAUGUUUUGCCAUCCACAAAACCUUACGCACAACGACACAUAACUUGAUGUAUAACUUUCUAGUACAUUUAGAAGGGCUUCUAAGACAACCAGCCUUUGACUUUGGCAGCAUAAGCCAUCUAAUCUAGACUGAUGUAUGGUUUAAAAUAAAUCAUAUCUGUGUGACAAGCUAAAUAUCUGGAGUCUGUUUCUCUCUUAGUAAAAACAAAAUCUAUUCUAGAUCCAACUUGCUGUGGUUUUAGCAGCAAGUAAAAGCUGCAAUCAGUCUUAACUGCCUCUUGGUAUUGACCAAACAUUUUACAUAAAGAAAUUAACGCCUUACUUACUUGUAAGCUGAGAUUUCUCUCAUUUGAAUUUUUAACACAGCAUUUCUAAUCUUCCCUCAAAAAUACUCAUGGAGUAAAAUCCUGAUCCCAAUUAAUGUAAUGGCAGUCCUCCUACUGACAUUUUGGGAGCAGAGACUUAACUCAUAGCCUGAAAGCUGAUAGUGACUUUAACUCACUAGGCUGAAACAUGAGAUCCAGAGGGUAGAGUAUACAUUAAAUAGAUAAUUAGUUUAUUUCUAGCCUGUAUGCCAACAAGCAAAAAAUAAUGCAUGUUUGUAUCAUUUCCAAUGAUGCAGGGAACACAACUACUCCCUACAAUUAAUACAAAAUGCAGCAAAUAUUUGUCCCACCCAUUUUUUUUAUCUUCAGAAAGAUAGCCUAUAUUGUGAAAUAUUUCAUUGACUUCCUGAACCAAAAUCAUAGUCACUGUUUUUAAGAAAAGUAAUUCCUUAUAUUGUACCAGUAAAUAGUGACCUUCCCAUUUAAUGUGCAGAAUUUUGAACCACACAAAAAUAAGUAGUUUUCAUUUUGUUUACUACAUAUAUACACACACUACUUAAAAAUAUUUGCCUGCAUUUGUGAGUACUUGCAGAUUACUCCUUGAGUGCAAAUUAUAUAAUUGAUCAGUUACCAGUUAAUAAUUAAAUGAAAUACAAACCAAGAUAUUUCUGAACAGUUUUUAAAUCAACUGUAGAUAUACUGGGAGACAUUCCACUAUAUUUUUGAAUAUUAUAUAUGUCUUUCUGAUGGUAUGCUCUUUCAAAGCAGCAAGGAAACAAAUAAUUUCAACAGUUUUCCCAGAUUCCCAAGUGCAAUAAGCAACAAAAAAAGUAGAUAGCCAGACACCUACAUGCACUUAGAGAUGAAAUUACCUGCAGUGAACUUCAAGGGGAGAGCCUACAUUGCAGGAAGGCAGAGCUUGGACGCAGCACAGCCAGGCAAGUCGUGUGCAUCUGAUUUGCCAGCUCAGUGUCCUGGUAAAUGAGGUUGUUAAGAAAGAGAGUUCAAUUUUAGAAGCAGGGACUCCUUUUGUGCGGAUGUGCAGCAUGUGGUACAUGAAGCAGGGCAGUCACAGGAAUGUUUCCAGUGUCCAUUAGUUUCUUCACCAGACGAGCUUGGCAAAAGGAGCUCACAAACACACAAAACAGAGGCAUUGCUUUGUUACAGAGAAGAUCUCUGCUCUGAAGCUAAGAAAAGUGAAGUCUUCAGGGGUAUUUCCAUCCAGAAAGUGGGGUCAAGCAAGAGCUAGGCCUGUAGAUCUUUCCAGUGAGACAUUGGCUCAUCUCACAUUAACAUUUUUCUCCCCAAGUGCUCUGUUCCUAUGAAUAAGUCAUAUUUUACUUGGGAGAAGCCUUUCUCAGUCACUGCUCUUACCUCCAGGGCCCGGCCGAUGAGGAACAGUCUCUGGCAGACAUCAGAUCCAGUCAGACCUGCUGCAGAAGGGUGGCUGAGUGCCAGAGGAGCCAGGGCCAGGGGUGGGAGAAUGCCGUGUCUCAGCCAGGAGAGGGAAAGAAGGAAGGAUGGAAGAGAUGGAACUGUGGUUUUCACCAUCUUCCCAUUUCAAAUUCCCAUUGUCUGCCACCAUUGUCUGUACAAGGGGCAGGACUACUAGAGAUUUUUCUGGCCAAAUGGCAGUUUCAUCCUCCUGGAUAAAAAUAAAUUUCAUUCCAUCUAAGUUUGUAUAUGGAUGGACAAGCCUGUGUGCAUGGUUUUGCAAAGAGCUCUCCCUCUGCAUAAACACUCUCUCAAAGCCAAAGUUGGAGGCCAGUUCAGUCAAGAUAUAUACUGUUUAACAACAAAUUGUACUUAUGUUGUUUUAAUUGACGUAUCUGUGAAGAGUGAAACCCCUACUUUAAUAUGGAUUGUAUCAACCAAUAAACUCACAAUUUU
This 5486-nucleotide long non-coding RNA is filed under the name Taeniopygia guttata (zebra finch). RNAcentral describes it as "lncRNA (ENSTGUG00000022893.1)". The record is from RNAcentral. Lineage: Eukaryota; Metazoa; Chordata; Aves; Passeriformes; Estrildidae.